This 806-nucleotide unclassified non-coding RNA is filed under the name Hevea brasiliensis (rubber tree). The record is from RNAcentral. Lineage: Eukaryota; Viridiplantae; Streptophyta; Magnoliopsida; Malpighiales; Euphorbiaceae.
UUAAAGGUGUGUGAAUGUCCCAACAGACAUUGAAUGGUAGUAAUCCCGUAUGUCUUCCUAUAAUCUGUAAAGCAGGUCUCUAAAAUCUAACUUUUGGAACAGUUUUUUAAACAUGUCUUUAUGUUUACUCUAUGUAGACAUAUAUUACUAGUUUCAUGUGUUAGGAAUAAUUAUAAAUCACAUGAUGGUAAAGAAAUAAUAGUUCUAGAGGAUUUAAAAUUAACAAAAAGCAUGUUUUGUCUCUUUUGGCACUCCAUUUUCAAGCAAAUGAAAUGUAUUUUCUGUCAUAUUUUUUUUCCCAGAAUGUAAGACUUGGAUAAACAUGUGUUCGGCACAAUGUUGAUAUCAUGAGAAGAUGUCACCUGUGGAAAAUCAGGGCCGAAUCUUCUAAUACCUUAUCAUGUACAAGUCUAGUAUUUUGUAAAACCAUUUAGGUCCAUAUAGACAGCAUCAAAACCUGAUAGAUGGUUUUGAAGAAAAAGAAACAAAGAAAAAAGGAUCAGUAUAAGCGUCAAUGGAAUUAUUAUACUUCUAUGUGAUAUUUUUAUAAUACAGUCUGAUGCGAUGCCUUCGACUUCCCCAGCCAAUCUAUAUUUAUUGUUAUGUAGUGGAAUUUGAUGUCUUUAAGCCAAGAUUGAUUUCAUUCAAGAGUUCCACAAAUGAACAUAUUGAACCUUAAACUGUCAUAAGGCACCAUAACAUGUAUUUGAUCGUCGCUCUUCUCUUUGAUAAGAUGCAUAUGGUACUUCUUCUCCUUAUUGAGCUUCUGGUGUCUCUUCCAGAGAGCUAGCAGCUCUAGUUGAUCA